RNAcentral lists this ribosomal RNA (254 nucleotides) under uncultured bacterium. RNAcentral's name for it is "partial 16S ribosomal RNA". It matches the Rfam family "Bacterial small subunit ribosomal RNA", at positions 524 to 776 of the family's 1533-position model. The record is from RNAcentral.
CACGUAGGGGGCAAGCGUUGUCCGGAUUUAUUGGGCGUAAAGAGCUCGUAGGCGGCUCAGUAAGUCGGGUGUGAAACCUCCAGGCUCAACCUGGAGACGCCACCUGAUACUGCUGUGGCUAGAGUCCGGUAGGGGAGCGUGGAAUUCCUGGUGUAGCGGUGAAAUGCGCAGAUAUCAGGAGGAACACCAGCGGCGAAGGCGGCGCUCUGGGCCGGAACUGACGCUGAGGAGCGAAGGCCAGGGGAGCAAACGGG